Molecule: ribosomal RNA, 371 nt
Filed under: uncultured organism
Description: bacterial SSU rRNA
Rfam family: Bacterial small subunit ribosomal RNA
Source: RNAcentral
CGUAGGGGGCAAGCGUUGUCCGGAUUUAUUGGGCGUAAAGAGCGUGUGGGCGGCCAGAUAGGUCAGCUGUGAAAACUCGAGGCUCAACCUCGAGAUGUCGGCUGAAACCAUCUGGCUAGAGUCCGGAAGAGGAGAAUGGAAUUCCCGGUGUAGCGGUGAAAUGCGCAGAUAUCGGGAAGAACACCCGUGGCGAAGGCGGUUCUCUGGGACGGUACUGACGCUGAGACGCGAAAGCGUGGGGAGCGAACAGGAUUAGAUACCCUGGUAGUCCACGCCGUAAACGAUGGGAACUAGGUGUGGGCGGUGUCGACUCCGUCCGUGCCGAAGCUAACGCAUUAAGUUCCCCGCUGGGGAGUACGGCCGCAAGGCUA